UGUCUUGUAAUUGGAAUGAUGGGAAUUUAAACCUCUUCCAGAGUAUCAAUUGGAGGGCAAGUCUGGUGCCAGCAGCCGCGGUAAUUCCAGCUCCAAUAGCGUAUAUUAAAAUUGUUGCAGUUAAAAAGCUCGUAGUUGAAUUUCUGCUGCAUUGCUUUUGCUCCUUUACGAGUCUUUGCAUUGUGGCUUAUUUCGGACUUUGUUUUACAAUGUCCGGAUGUUUACUUUGAGAAAAUUAGAGUGCUCAAAGCAGGCUUUCGCCUUGAAUAGUUUAGCAUGGAAUAAUAAAGUAGGACUUUGGUUCUAUUUUGUUGGUUUUAGGUACCAAAGUAAUGGUUAAUAGGAACAGUUGGGGGCAUUCGUAUUUAACUGUCAGAGGUGAAAUUCUUAGAUUUGUUAAAGACGAACUACUGCGAAAGCAUUUGCCAAGGAUGUUUUCAUUAAUCAAGAACGAAAGUUAGGGGAUCGAAGACGAUCAGAUACCGUCGUAGUCCUACCA
This 499-nucleotide ribosomal RNA is filed under the name Theileria ovis. RNAcentral's name for it is "SSU rRNA". It matches the Rfam family "Eukaryotic small subunit ribosomal RNA", at positions 499 to 1031 of the family's 1831-position model. Lineage: Eukaryota; Apicomplexa; Aconoidasida; Piroplasmida; Theileriidae. The record is from RNAcentral.